Molecule: long non-coding RNA, 534 nt
Filed under: Pan troglodytes (chimpanzee)
Lineage: Eukaryota; Metazoa; Chordata; Mammalia; Primates; Hominidae
Description: lncRNA (ENSPTRG00000053111.1)
Source: RNAcentral
ACAGGGUUUACUGAUGGAUUGAAUGUGGGGUAUGAGAGGUAGGAGUCAAGGAUGACUCUAAGGGUACAUUUGCCGUUAAUUGGGAUGAGGGAGUAUGCAGGAGGAGAUAUGAGGAAAGUCAGGCUUAAAGAUGUUAAAUGAUUCACCCAAGGUCACACUGGUAAUUCAGAGAGAAAUGGAAUUAAUUGACCUGUUAGGAAACUCAGAGAUCUGCUGGUGUUUCUUAUUUUACAGAUGAAAAAUUUGGAGUCUAGUGAAAAGAAGUGACUUGUUCAAAGUCACACAGCACAUGAAGAACAGAGCCUCUAUGAUGAAUUUCUUGACAGCUGAUAUAAGUCUUUUGAGGUACAGCCUGGCACAAAAAGGAUGAGAUUUGUGGGCAGAAUUUUGGAAGAAUAUCUCCCGAGAGAACAUUCAGGACAGAGCCCUACAUCUCCCCGAGAAGAGGUGAAAGAGACUGCUCCUAUCUGCUCCUGCAUCAAACUUCAGGCUCAAGACCUGUCCAGAAAAAAAAAUGUCUUCUUUCAGGGAUGA